RNAcentral lists this ribosomal RNA (439 nucleotides) under uncultured bacterium. Its description in RNAcentral is "partial 16S ribosomal RNA". It matches the Rfam family "Bacterial small subunit ribosomal RNA", at positions 339 to 795 of the family's 1533-position model. The record is from RNAcentral.
CUACGGGGUGCAGCAGUGGGGAAUAUUGCACAAUGGAGGAAACUCCGAUGCAGCAACGCCGCGUGGAGGAUGACACUUUUCGGAGCGUAAACUCCUUUUAUAUAGGAAGAAGAUGACGGUACUAUAUGAAUAAGCGCCGGCUAACUCCGUGCCAGCAGCCGCGGUAAUACGGAGGGCGCAAGCGUUACUCGGAAUCACUGGGCGUAAAGAGCGUGUAGGCGGAUUAAAAAGUCAGAAGUGAAAUCCUAUAGCUUAACUAUAGAACUGCUUCUGAAACUCUUAAUCUAGAAUAUGGGAGAGGUAGAUGGAAUUUCUAGUGUAGGGGUAAAAUCCGUAGAGAUCAGAAGGAAUACCGAUUGCGAAGGCGAUCUACUAGAACAUUAUUGACGCUGAGACACGAAAGCGUGGGGAGCAAACAGGAUUAGAUACCCUCGUAGUC